UACGUAGGUGACCAGCGUUGUCCGGAUUUACUGGGCGUAAAGAGCGCGCAGGCGGUCGUUCAAGUCGAGUGUGAAAGCCCCCGGCUCAACUGGGGAGGGUCACUCGAUACUGGUCGACUUGAAGGCAGGAGAGGGAAGCGGAAUUCCCGGUGUAGUGGUGAAAUGCGUAGAUAUCGGGAGGAACACCGGUGGCGAAGGCGGCAUCCUGGACCGGCAUUGACGCUGAGGCGCGAAAGCCAGGGGAGCAAACGGG
This 253-nucleotide ribosomal RNA is filed under the name uncultured bacterium. RNAcentral's name for it is "partial 16S ribosomal RNA". It matches the Rfam family "Bacterial small subunit ribosomal RNA", at positions 524 to 776 of the family's 1533-position model. The record is from RNAcentral.